Molecule: transfer RNA, 87 nt
Filed under: Patescibacteria group bacterium
Lineage: Bacteria
Description: tRNA-Leu
Rfam family: tRNA
About the family: Transfer RNA (tRNA) molecules are approximately 80 nucleotides in length. Their secondary structure includes four short double-helical elements and three loops (D, anti-codon, and T loops).
Source: RNAcentral
GCUGGAGUGGCGGAAUUGGUAUACGCGCUAGCCUUAGGAGCUAGUGCUCGCAAGAGCUUGGGAGUUCGAGUCUCCCCUCCAGCACCA